GUCUUUUUGAUUAUAAUUUAAAGUCUAACCUGCCCACUGAAUUUUUUGAAGGGCCGCGGUAUUUUGACUGUGCAAAGGUAGCAUAAUCAUUAGUCUUUUAAUUGAAGGCUUGUAUGAAUGGUUGGAUGAGGUAAUAACUGUCUCAAAUUAAUAAAUAAUAAAAUUUUAUUUUUAAGUUAAAAAGCUUAAAUAUAAUUAGAGGACGAGAAGACCCUAUAGAUCUUUAUAAAUUAAUAAAUUUUAAUUUUUUAGUUAAAAUAUGUUUUUAUCUGUUAAUUUAUUUUAUUGGGGUGAUAAAAAAAUUUAAAAAACUUUUUUUUUAAUUAAACAAUGAUUUUUGAUUAAUUGAUCCAUUAUUAGUGAUUAAAAGAAUAAGUUACCUUAGGGAUAACAGCGUAAUUUUUUUGAAGAGUUCAUAUCGAUAAAAAAGAUUGCGACCUCGAUGUUGAAUUAAAGGUUAAUUUUAGGUGUAGAAGUUUAAAGUUUUGGUCUGUUCGACCAUUAAAUC
This 508-nucleotide ribosomal RNA is filed under the name Anachauliodes laboissierei. RNAcentral's name for it is "partial 16S ribosomal RNA". It matches the Rfam family "Bacterial large subunit ribosomal RNA", at positions 1893 to 2594 of the family's 2925-position model. The record is from RNAcentral. Lineage: Eukaryota; Metazoa; Arthropoda; Insecta; Megaloptera; Corydalidae.